UUGAAAAUCGCACUGGUGUUCUCACUGAACAAUCAGAUCCCAUCAACUGCAGCUGGUCUGAGGUUCAUAAAACUGCAGCUCUGCAUGUUAUCACUGCCAGAGUAAUCUGAUAGCACAAGUCUGGUUUCACAGAGGUCUCUAUAGCAGUUACAAAAUGAGGACACUUUGGAUUUCUUUCCUGUUGAUGGGAAGCAUCACUGUGCUCCUCAACAACCAGGGAAGGUAGCGAAGGUGAACAGCCAGUGUGGUGGUAUGUAGCUUCACCUUCACAGGAACCAUCCAAGCCAGUCUACUAGAACCCCAGUGGGAAGCUGGUUGGUUCUGGCAGUUACCCAGGAGUUUACUACACCAGCAGUCCUACUUAUGGGGUCCAACAUGGCAGCCAUCAGCACCGCCAGCAUGCAGCUCCAGGAGACAACAGUGCUCAUUUUGCAGAGGAGAGCUGGAGCUCUUCAUCUGAUACCAGCGGUGCAGAUGAGUCAGUCUUCUCCCCUGUAGAUGAAGAGGAUCAAGUGUACGCCUAAAAGUCCAAGUCACGAUACAACUGUAAGCGGCUGAGGUUCAGCCAGUUCCGCUACAACCCAACAGAACCGAUUGUCCUCCAGCCACCAGUGUUUCCCCAUCAUGGGAACAUUUCCCAUUAUCCUGGCAAAAAGGGUCACUGAAGAUCUGAGUUGCACUUCAGUUGGUAUGUUCAGUCCCUGCUACUGAUGAUCUGACUGGAUUGUUUUGUUUCACUUGCGGUCCUGCUGUUUCUAACUGUGUUUUAAUAAAAACUGACGUUUCUUUGCAA
This is a long non-coding RNA of Girardinichthys multiradiatus, 793 nucleotides long. RefSeq lists it as uncharacterized. The transcript is spliced from 4 exons. The record is from RefSeq and is a predicted model, not a curated record. Lineage: Eukaryota; Metazoa; Chordata; Actinopteri; Cyprinodontiformes; Goodeidae.